UUCUGAUAUCACCCAAAAGAUCAAGCACUGAAAGUAUAAAAGAAAGGAGACUAAGAUGAUUAAGAAAUACUUGCUGUCCUUUUCCCAUACCACUGAAGGCAUACACACAUAUGGACAAAUAUCACAUUAAAGAACAAAUUAGUAAAUUAUACUAUGGCCGAGUGUGACAGCUCAUGCCUAUAAUCCCAGUACUUUGGGAGGCUGAGGCAGGCGGAUCACUUGAGGUCAAGAGUUUGAGACCAGCCUUGCCAACAUGGUGAAACUCCGUCUCUACUAAAAGUACAAAAAUCAGCCGGACAUGUUGCCACAUGCUUAUAGUCCAAGCUACUUGGGAGGUUGAGCCAGGAGAAUCGCUUAAACUCGGGAGGUGGAGGUUGCAGUGAGCCGAGGUCUUGCCACUGCACUCCAGAAUGGGUGACAGAGCGAGACUCCAUCUCAAUAAUAAUAAUAAUAAUAAUAAUAAUAAUAAUAAUAGGAAGAAGAAGAAGAAGAAGAAGAAGAAGAAGAAGAAGAUACAAAAGCAUCUGUGCUCUUCAUAUUAUACAGUGUGUGCCCAAUGGGAAGGAUGGAGGGAAACAGGGGAGAGGAUUCUGCUGCCUUCUCAACUCAGUUCUACUCACCUUGCAGUUAGCAGAGAGAUUGCCAGUGUUACCUUUUGGUAAGGGUGAUCUUGCUCAACCUCAGCUUAAAGAGGACUUUGUAGGGGCAGUGACAUCUGGUCUGGGCUGAAUCUCACAGGAUGAGGCAGAGAUUGGCAAAUGCACUCUAGACAGAGACAGCACAUGUGUUGUGGCUACAACAACAUGGCACAUUUGAGAAAAACCACAGGACAAGGCCUACCUUCCGAAGAAAUUAUUCUCCCUUCUUCACACUGCCACAAACCCAGUCUCUUUGCCCAUCCUUUGCAUUAUGCCAAAAAUUAUACACGUAGGUGCUCAGUAAAUACUGGAUGACAUACGAAUGAAUGAUUCAUGACAUCCCUCAGUUAAAGCAAUUUGCUUCUCCUAGAAUAUCCUUUUUCUCUCUCUCAAUCUGAAUUCCAUCAAGUCCUGGCUGGAGACCCACCUUCUGAAAGCUAUUAUUAUCCAAGAGCAACACAAAUGACCUGCACUUAUUCUGAAUUUCAUCUUUCAAUGUUCUAAACUUAAUAUUUUCUGUCCAAUCUUGUCUUCCUAAUUAAACAUAAUGUCCUCAAAGGCAGGGAUUGAUCUCCUCCUUCUCCUCCUCUUUCACUUUUUAUAAUUUUUUUUUUGUUUUGGUAAACUCAAAUAUGCCAAAUCCAAAUAUACCAUCUUAGAGAGUAAAAGUUUAAUUUCUAUGAAAGGAAGGGAAGAAGAAAGGCAGGGAGGGGGAGAGGGAGUUUGCCUUGCUUGCUCUUGAGCUCCUUCCUCCUUCAGAACACCACAUUCAGCCACUAGGCCACAGCAGCCUUUGCUGACCUCCUAGUCUGUUUUUCUUUCUCACGAAUCUAGUUGCCUCCCUCUCCCCCUCCCUCCCUUCUUCCCUUCAUUCAUUUUAGUCUUAAUAUAAAAACUUAAUAUGUAAAAUCCCCCCACCCCAUUUUUAUAAUCUUUUUAAAAUUUAAAAUUUCCUGAAAAGAAUUUGAAUGAAUGAAUAAACAAGAUUCUACUCAAAGGCUUCAAAUCUUCAGCAAAAGAUAGUAUACCAGUGCUUCAUACUUUGUAACCAAAGGCAUUAAUUUGCAACCCUUUCUUUUCUUAAACAAGUAAGAUACUGUGAUUCCUUUUGAUGCAAUGUAGCAAACCAGACACAAAUAGCAACAACAACUUUUCAGACACAAAGAGACAUCACUGUUAUUUCUACCUUAAUGCAGAUGGGCCUGGACUUAUGAAAGGGCUACUUCCUGAUAAACCCAUCCGAAGUUGAAAAUGUUGUAAACUGAAAGUGCAUUCAAUACCAGAUAAACCCAUCACAAACUCAAAACAUUUUAAGUUGACCUAUUGUAAAUCAGAGAGCAUCUGUUUUUCUGUAUCCUUAUGAGCCCUCAAAUCCAUUUUCUUUAAAUGUCCAUCCCCAUCCUGUGGGCCAGUCUGCCAUAUCUUGCAAACACUUCCAGUUGGGCUUCCUUCAUCUACUCUUACCCUUCUCAGUACUUUCCUAUAAAGACAGCCAGGAAGAGCCAAUCUGCUCAUGGCAUUUCCUCCUCAAAAAUCUCUUGGUGGCUUCCUUACUUAUAGGGUAAGGACCAAAAUCCUUAAUAGCACCUACAGGGCUUGGCAUGUUCUGGUUCACCUCAUCACUUUCGUUUCACACCAAAUUCUCUCAUUCUCUGGGCUCUGGCCAAGUGGCCCUGCCUUCAGUUGUUCACCUUAUUUCCUCUAGCUAGCUACAGGGUCUCUAUUCAUGCUCUUUGUUCCUCAGCUCAAAAGCUAUUUGUUUCCUGGGGAAGCCAUCUUUGAUCCAUACAACAUUGCACACACACUCAGCACAACAUGCUUUUUCUUCACAGCACUUACUACUUUGCAACUAUGCAAAGUAUUUGUUGUAUAAAAUAUGUAUUUGUUCAUAUAAUUACCCAUGUAAUGUCUGCCUUCCCAACCAGUCUAAA
RNAcentral lists this long non-coding RNA (2569 nucleotides) under Homo sapiens (human). Its description in RNAcentral is "HSALNT0190838". Lineage: Eukaryota; Metazoa; Chordata; Mammalia; Primates; Hominidae. The record is from RNAcentral.